CCCCGCGCAGCUCGUGUCCACGCGCGGACUACGGCUCCCAGGAUGCAGCGGGCGCGGAGCCCUUUGUCUCUCCCCCUGCAGCGGCCGAUCGGGCUGGAGAAGUUCCCCAGUCGGCGGCCAUAGGGGAGCCGGGCGCGGGCAGCCAGCGCCCCUCGCCAGCCGGGCGCAGCGCAGAGCAGCGCAGCGCAGCGGGCUCCAGUGGCCUCGACGCAGAAAGCCCAGCUCAGAUGGAGCGAGGGGACAGGCUGCGUGUGGGCGAUCGCAGGGAGAGGAGAGAGAGGGGAACGCCUGACGCCUAUGGCACAGGUUCUGCUGACCUCAGACCCCAGGUGUUUAUUAAAAUGGAGCAGGAAGAGGAGCCAUGCAUGGGGGGGCCCCCAGAGCAGAGAGAGACAGGAAUUCUCCAUGCCCCUGGCACAGGCACAGGCUGGCCUGACGUGAAGCAUGAGAUUGUGGUGAAAGUGGAGCCAGAUGACGAGUCAUAUGUGGGGUAUCCCCAAGGCCUAGGGGACCGAGACCUCCCCGGCUACCCCAGCACUGGUAUCAAAGCAGAGAUCGUGGUCAAAACAGAGCCCGAGGACGAUGCCUACGGCGAGUGUGCCCAGCAUUACGGUGAAGGAGACGGUCCCAACGACCCCUUCUGUGACGCAAACCCAGAGAUUAUCGUGAAAGUGGAGCCAGACGAUGAGUCGGCCAUUGGCUAUCCUCAGGACCUGAGCGAAGGCAGAAUUCCUGGCUACCCCAGCCCAGGUGAGCCAUGCGGAUCCCCAGAGCAGCUCUGGGGACAGGAAGAGCUGGAAACUCAGGGGGGCCCUGUACGAAAUUGGCGAGCCAGGCUCGCUGUAUUGUGCCGGCUCCUGGCACAUGGAUCCUGCAUAGCCACUGGCUGCAGUGGAGCCCAGAACUGCAAAUUUCCCUGCCCUCGUGAGCGAGAGACCGCCCCACUCCAGGGGGGCCGG
RNAcentral lists this long non-coding RNA (959 nucleotides) under Gopherus agassizii (Agassiz's desert tortoise). RNAcentral describes it as "lncRNA (ENSGAGG00000018886.1)". The record is from RNAcentral. Lineage: Eukaryota; Metazoa; Chordata; Testudines; Testudinidae.